AUUCUUCCAUGUGCAAUCUUAUCCAUACUCCUCUCUUUUAGAUAUAAUGCGUGGCUUUUUUUCGUUUUUGUAUUCAACCAAAUCAGAUUUCUCGUUUCUUCUUUCUCUGAACUUCAACCAAGAUUUCAGUCUCUAUCUCUCUAACAAAAAGAUCCGUUUGAUUUCGCAUUAGCCAUAUUCUUAUCAGAUUUUGUCCGAUUUCAUCAACAUGAGACAUGAAGUUUUGUUUUGAAGGUUUGAUGAAGAUGAAGUCAGUGGAUUCAUCAAAAUUAAAAACGAAAUCACAAUAUUACCCAGAUUCAAGAUAGACUCAUGGAGUGAUUUAUGUGUUGUGUUCAAAGAAUCAGUUUAACAAUGGCAUCGACUUCAAACAAAGAAUAGGAUUUUCAAUCAACCUCGAAGAAUGGAAAGAAAGGCCAGUGAUAGCAAUGACGAACAAUCAAAUGAUGUCAAACUCUAUAAAUCAGAUUGCUAUGACAUGUUCUAAGAUGCCUUUGUUUCUUUAAUGCCAUUGAUCACAGUUUUUUAAUACUUUUAA
This is a long non-coding RNA of Helianthus annuus (common sunflower), 538 nucleotides long. RefSeq lists it as uncharacterized. The record is from RefSeq and is a predicted model, not a curated record. NCBI's taxonomy places the organism in Eukaryota, Viridiplantae, Streptophyta, Magnoliopsida, Asterales, Asteraceae. The transcript is spliced from 3 exons.